Long non-coding RNA from Monomorium pharaonis (pharaoh ant), 1770 nucleotides. RefSeq lists it as uncharacterized. The transcript has 2 exons. The record is from RefSeq and is a predicted model, not a curated record. NCBI's taxonomy places the organism in Eukaryota, Metazoa, Arthropoda, Insecta, Hymenoptera, Formicidae.
CAGAGUCGAAAUUAACUCUGAUUUAAAAUUUAUAGUCAUCUUUGUGACUGCAUGAACAGUUGCGUGUCAUGAUGUUGGAACGUUCGGAAGGAAUGCGGAAGUCCAAUCAAUCGCGAAUUCAACUGAAAUUUCAAUUCCAUUAACUGUCAAUCUGAAUAUAUUCUCGCAAUAACUUUGACGAGAAUUUUCUUUUGAGGAUUUCGAAAAAUUUGUCUUCCUCGAAGUUUAUCUCUUAUUAUCUUGGAAUUACCUAUAUUUUGAUAACAUAUUGGUUAUUUCGACUUUUAAUUAUCUUUCAAUCACGGCGUCUUUCGAACCGAAAGUAGUUAUAUAUAUACCUAUAAAAUUUUCAAGCAUUUCUUGCAAAAUCUUGACUACUGUAUUAUAUAAUAAUCAUUUUAUCUCGAUAAUAUAAAUUUUGUACAUGUGAAAAUUCUAUUAUAAGAAAUCAUGACGCUCGAUCUAUCUCAUGAUAAAUUAUAUAAUAUUAAUCGUUAAUAUCUGAUGAAGUUAUUUGAUUCUCUCGAGUCAUUGUCACGCUUCGAUAAAUGACGAAUGACAUUUAUUUACUCAUAAUCUGCAAUCAGUUUCAAUUUAAUUGUCGCAAUAACGUCAGCGUUUGCAUUUAGAUUUAUUUACGUAAUUCCCAAGUACAUUUGCUGCAAUAUUGAUAACGGCAAUAUGGUUCAACAUUGCUCCACGUCAAAACUGAAAAUCACGUUUCGCACACGCAGCAUGGCGCAAAGUUGAUAGAUCGAAAGAGGAAUACCGGAAACAUUAUCGAAAGGUCAAGCACAUGACGCUCACGCUGUGAUCCUCCUAUUUAAAAUAUCCAUAAUUUUUUUAUUUACUUUGUCAGCAAAUCUUACUUGCAGCGUCUUCUUUUUUUCCAACUUCCUUAAUGGAAGAAAAAUAACACGCAUGAAAUAAGCUCUGUAGGAGAAAUGGUUCAUAUUCUUUCGGGAUAAAUUUGAGAGAAACCAUUCGUUAGUUUUUCUUACAGUUUAAUAAAAGAUAUUAGCCACUUUGUGUGAAAGUAAUCUAUACAAAAUGUUUUUGAAUUUUUCAAUAUCAAUAAAUGCAAUAAAAAAUCGCUUGUUUUUUACAUUAUACAUAUAUAAUACAUAUCAAAUUAAAGUAGAUAAUUAAUAGGAAAAUAAAUACACCUACAAUUGUACAUAUUGUUCUUGUACUUUAUUACAUUUAUUAUUCGAUAAAUCAUGAUCAAUUGACAAUAAUAAUAAUUACAAUAAUAUUAAUAGUAAUAAUAGAAUAAUAAAAAAUUAAUUUUCUUCGGUUCUUGUGACAGCUGCCUCAAUGCCGUAAAGUUCCUAGCAAUCCUACAGAGUUUAUAUUUGGUGCAAGUACUUCAGAGAUUACAUUUGCAUAUCUCGUGUAGUACAGUCAAUUCUUUACGAAUUCUCUAAUCUUUUCUAUAAUAUUUUAAAAUAUCAAUUAAAAAGAAAAUUAAAAAAUAUAUUAAUACAUGCCCCGAAUAUGCCCAAGCAUAUUUUUAAUAAUUGAAGAAUCCUUGAAUAUUUAAAAUACAGAACUAAAUCAUAGCACUUUUAAAAUCGACGCUUUCUACGUGUAGCCGCCUCAUUCUCUUAUCGCAUACAGAAAGCAUAAAUGUUUCUAUUGUCAAAUCACGUUUGCUCCAUCCGUAUAUAAUUCAUGCCCGAACGAAUUAUAGCUUUCUUCUAUGAUAAAUGCAUUGAAAAACUGCAGAAGAAAAACACUGAGCAGUUGCUUUUUGAAAUAUCAAUUUUC